This 86-nucleotide transfer RNA is filed under the name Bacteroidota bacterium. RNAcentral describes it as "Bacteroidetes bacterium (activated sludge metagenome) tRNA-Leu". It matches the Rfam family "tRNA". From Rfam's summary of the family: Transfer RNA (tRNA) molecules are approximately 80 nucleotides in length. The record is from RNAcentral. Lineage: Bacteria; Pseudomonadati; Bacteroidota.
GCCGGAGUGGCGGAAUUGGUAGACGCACAGGACUUAAAAUCCUGAGGGACGUAAGUCCCGUGCCGGUUCGAGUCCGGCCUUCGGUA